RNAcentral lists this ribosomal RNA (420 nucleotides) under uncultured bacterium. RNAcentral describes it as "bacterial SSU rRNA". It matches the Rfam family "Bacterial small subunit ribosomal RNA", at positions 970 to 1392 of the family's 1533-position model. The record is from RNAcentral.
CUUACCAGGGCUUAAAUGUAGUCUGACAGGGGUGGAAACACCCUUUACUUCGGACAGAUUACAAGGUGCUGCAUGGUUGUCGUCAGCUCGUGCCGUGAGGUGUCAGGUUAAGUCCUAUAACGAGCGCAACCCCUGUUGUUAGUUGCCAGCGAGUCAAGUCGGGAACUCUAACAAGACUGCCGGUGCAAACCGUGAGGAAGGUGGGGAUGACGUCAAAUCAUCACGGCCCUUACGUCCUGGGCCACACACGUGCUACAAUGGCAGGUACAAUGGGCAGCCACUGCGUAAGCAGGAGCGAAUCCACAAAACCUGUCUCAGUUCGGAUCGGGGUCUGCAACUCGACCCCGUGAAGCUGGAAUCGCUAGUAAUCGGAUAUCAGCCAUGAUCCGGUGAAUACGUUCCCCGGGUCUGUACACACCG